UACGUAGGGUGCGAGCGUUAAUCGGAUUUACUGGGCGUAAAGCGUGCGCAGGCGGCCCGUUAAGACAGGUGUGAAAUCCCUGGGCUCAACCUAGGAAUUGCGCUUGUGACUGGCGGGCUCGAGUACGGUAGAGGGGGGUGGAAUUCCUGGUGUAGCAGUGAAAUGCGUAGAGAUCAGGAGGAACACCGAUGGCGAAGGCAGCCCCCUGGGCCUGUACUGACGCUCAUGCACGCAAGCGUGGGGAGCAAACAGG
RNAcentral lists this ribosomal RNA (253 nucleotides) under uncultured microorganism. Its description in RNAcentral is "partial 16S ribosomal RNA". It matches the Rfam family "Bacterial small subunit ribosomal RNA", at positions 524 to 776 of the family's 1533-position model. The record is from RNAcentral.